Non-coding RNA from Erythranthe guttata (spotted monkey flower), 1506 nucleotides. The record is from RefSeq and is a predicted model, not a curated record. Lineage: Eukaryota; Viridiplantae; Streptophyta; Magnoliopsida; Lamiales; Phrymaceae.
UAAAAUUAAAAGGGUUUCUUCAAAAUUGCCCAAAUCCCUAAACCAUAAAAUCGACGGCCCCUUCCCCCAUCUCCCUCUCCUUUCUCUCUCACUCUCUCUCUCUUGAUCCGCCGUAGCCAAUCGGUUGCCCACUUGAGCAGAUGUUUUGUUGUCUUCAAUUGCCGAUGGAUGUUCUUCGUUUCCAGACUAUCUAUUCUUCGUUGCAUAUGUGUCCGUUCGAUUCAAGCAUGCCUUGCGGAAGAUCGCUCAACAUCUUCGAAAAACAAAAAUAAGUUCAAACAAGAGAAGAAAAGUAAGCCACCAUUAGUUUUAAAUAGUGGAAUACAAAAUGCAUAAGUUCCGACUAAAGAGUUGAUAAAUCAGUCGACAAAGAUCAAGAACACAAUUUAGGUACUUGAUUUUGAUUUGACAUUUUUUGGUUUUUUUCAUCUGCUUGACUUCGUCUUGUGACUUUCUCUUGUGAUUUAGCUGGAAACCGGAGCUCCGGAUUCGGGGUUUUCAAAGUGGUUUGACAGGUUAAGCAAACUAGGUUUGUGAUCUUUUUUCGAUUUCGUAGGACAACUCCAUUUGUGUUUUAAUUAUUACUUUAUCUGCUCUAUGUUUAUGUGAGAAGAAUAGUGCUCUGAAUGGAUUCUUAUUUGUUGAAGCAUUUGAUAAAUUAUUUGAUUCCUCACUGUUUCAAGGAUGAGUUUAAUUGUGGGAUGAAAUGUUGUAAACGUGUUGUAUUAGAUUACGUGAAUUUAAUCUAAUCUUGUCUAUAAAGUUUUAACUUUUGAGAUGCUUUAGAGUGAUAUAAAUGCUAACUUCAUUGCCAUUCGUCUCAUAGUGUCAGUUCAAACUAGGUUAUGACAUUUUUCGGGGUAUACAUAUUGUAAUCCACUCUGUUUUUUCUACUAAGAAGUGUCGAAUACUGUCUCCGUGCAUUUCUGUUUGUUUAAGUCUCAUUUUCUUUACAAAUAUACGUCAAUUGUAAUGAUUUCUAAAGUUGGAUUUUAUAACACGAGUUGGUGUUUCGUUUGAUAAUGCGAAAAUAUGCAAUUACAAGGACCAAUAAUAUAAUCCCAAUUCUUUUGAAUUAACUUUGUGCAGAGAAAGAGGCAGCUGAUAGAAGAAAAUUAGUGAGCAAAUGGCAUCCAACAACAAAGAGUACAUUUAGGUGACAUUACAAAAUUCAUUCUAAAUCAGAAGGUAGGUGUUUGCUUAAAGCCAUCGCAUCCUGUGGCUACAACAUUUCAUAAGCUUUUGCACCUGCACCAACAAGGUGGGCACAAGAAGAUAGCAGAAGUUGCAAAAGCUUAAAGACGGCCGAUAGAGGAAAAAGAAAAUAUUGGAGCAAAUGAAUGAAUAAUUGGUUUAUAGCAGUUAAUCUUAGUUAGUUUUGGACAAGGGGAACAUAAUAAGCUUUCUUAAACUUCUAAUUUAUAUUAAGAUUCAUUGUAAGAUGUAUAUUGUAUGAUUUGAAGAUAUAAUAUUUUUUGUAUUUUAUGAUCAUUUAAUUAAUUAUAU